This 469-nucleotide ribosomal RNA is filed under the name uncultured bacterium. RNAcentral's name for it is "partial 16S ribosomal RNA". It matches the Rfam family "Bacterial small subunit ribosomal RNA", at positions 28 to 507 of the family's 1533-position model. The record is from RNAcentral.
GACGAACGCUGGCGGCGUGCUUAACACAUGCAAGUCGAACGGAAAGGCCCUGCUUGCAGGGUGCUCGAGUGGCGAACGGGUGAGUAACACGUGGGUGAUCUGCCCCUGAUUUUGGGAUAAGCCUGGGAAACUGGGUCUAAUACUGGAUAGGACCAUGCUGUAGGUGGUGUGGUGGAAAGAUUAGUUUCGGUAAGGGAUGAGCUCGCGGCCUAUCAGCUUGUUGGUGGGGUAAUGGCCUACCAAGGCGUCGACGGGUAGCCGGCCUGAGAGGGUGGACGGCCACAUUGGGACUGAGAUACGGCCCAGACUCCUACGGGAGGCAGCAGUGGGGAAUAUUGCACAAUGGGCGCAAGCCUGAUGCAGCGACGCCGCGUGGGGGAUGACGGCCUUCGGGUUGUAAACUCCUUUCAGCCAUGACGAAGCCCUUGUGGUGACGGUAGUGGUAGAAGAAGCACCGGCUAACUACGUG